GACGAACGCUGGCGGCGUGCUUAACACAUGCAAGUCGAACGGAAAGGCCCUGCUUUUGUGGGGUGCUCGAGUGGCGAACGGGUGAGUAACACGUGAGUAACCUGCCCUUGACUUUGGGAUAACUUCAGGAAACUGGGGCUAAUACCGGAUAGGAGCUCCUGCUGCAUGGUGGGGGUUGGAAAGUUUCGGCGGUUGGGGAUGGACUCGCGGCUUAUCAGCUUGUUGGUGGGGUAGUGGCUUACCAAGGCUUUGACGGGUAGCCGGCCUGAGAGGGUGACCGGCCACAUUGGGACUGAGAUACGGCACAGACUCCUACGGGAGGCAGCAGUGGGGAAUAUUGAACAAUGGGCGGAAGCCUGAUGCAGCAACGCCGAGUGCGGGAUGACGGCCUUCGGGUUGUAAACCGCUUUCGCCUGUGACGAAGCGUGAGUGACGGUAAUGGGUAAAGAAGCACCGGCUAACUACGUG
This 468-nucleotide ribosomal RNA is filed under the name uncultured bacterium. Its description in RNAcentral is "partial 16S ribosomal RNA". It matches the Rfam family "Bacterial small subunit ribosomal RNA", at positions 28 to 507 of the family's 1533-position model. The record is from RNAcentral.